This 488-nucleotide ribosomal RNA is filed under the name uncultured bacterium. Its description in RNAcentral is "bacterial SSU rRNA". It matches the Rfam family "Bacterial small subunit ribosomal RNA", at positions 355 to 856 of the family's 1533-position model. The record is from RNAcentral.
UGGGGAAUCUUGGACAAUGGGGGCAACCCUGAUCCAGCCAUGCCGCGUGAGUGAUGAAGGCCUUAGGGUCGUAAAGCUCUUUCGCCUGUGAAGAUAAUGACGGUAGCAGGUAAAGAAACCCCGGCUAACUCCGUGCCAGCAGCCGCGGUAAUACGGAGGGGGUUAGCGUUGUUCGGAAUUACUGGGCGUAAAGCGCACGUAGGCGGACCAGAAAGUUGGGGGUGAAAUCCCGGGGGCUCAACCCCGGAACUGCCUCCAAAACUAUUGGUCUAGAGUUCGAGAGAGGUGAGUGGAAUUCCAAGUGUAGAGGUGAAAUUCGUAGAUAUUUGGAGGAACACCAGUGGCGAAGGCGGCUCACUGGCUCGAUACUGACGCUGAGGUGCGAAAAGUGUGGGGAGCAAAACAGGAUUAGAUACCCCUGGUAGUCCACACCGUAAAACGAUGAAUGCCAGUCGUCGGGUAGCAUGCUAUUCGGUGACACACCUAAC